CCUACGGGUGGCAGCAGUGAGGAAUAUUGGUCAAUGGCCGAGAGGCUGAACCAGCCAAGUCGCGUGAGGGAAGACGGCCCUACGGGUUGUAAACCUCUUUUGUCGGGGAGCAAAGAGAGUCACGUGUGACUCAUUGAGAGUACCCGAAGAAAAAGCAUCGGCUAACUCCGUGCCAGCAGCCGCGGUAAUACGGAGGAUGCGAGCGUUAUCCGGAUUUAUUGGGUUUAAAGGGUGAGCAGGCGGAGUGGCAAGUCAGCGGUAAAAUUACGGGGCUCAACCCCGUACUGCCGUUGAAACUGCAUCCCUUGAGUGCGAGAGAAGUAUGCAGAAUGCGUGGUGUAGCGGUGAAAUGCAUAGAUAUCACGAAGAACUCCGAUAGCGAAGGCAGCAUACCGGCGCGCAACUGACGCUGAUGCACGAAAGCGUGGGUAUCGAACAGGAUUAGAUACCCGGGUAGUC
This 459-nucleotide ribosomal RNA is filed under the name uncultured bacterium. RNAcentral describes it as "partial 16S ribosomal RNA". It matches the Rfam family "Bacterial small subunit ribosomal RNA", at positions 338 to 795 of the family's 1533-position model. The record is from RNAcentral.